CCCGCACAAGCGGUGGAGCAUUGUGGUUUAAUUCGAAGCAACGCGAAGAACCUUACCAGGUCUUGACAUCCCGAUGCUAUUCUAGAGAUAGAAAGUUACUUCGGUACAUCGGUGACAGGUGGUGCAUGGUUGUCGUCAGCUCGUGUCGUGAGAUGUUGGAUUAAGUCCCGCAACGAGCGCAACCCCUAUUGUUAGUUGCCAUCAUUCAGUUGGGCACGUCUAGCGAGACUGCCGGUAAUAAACCGGAGGAAGGUGGGGAUGACGUCAAAUCAUCAUGCCCCUUACUGACCUGGGCUACACACGUGCUACAAUGGUUGGUACAACGAGUUGCGAGUCGGUGACGGCGAGCUAAUCUCUUAAAGCCAAUCUCAGUUCGGAUUGUAGGCUGCAACUCGCCUACAUGAAGUCGGAAUCGCUAGUAAUCGCGGAUCAGCACGCCGCGGUGAAUACGUUCCCGGGCCUU
This 463-nucleotide ribosomal RNA is filed under the name uncultured Streptococcus sp. Its description in RNAcentral is "bacterial SSU rRNA". It matches the Rfam family "Bacterial small subunit ribosomal RNA", at positions 920 to 1382 of the family's 1533-position model. The record is from RNAcentral. Lineage: Bacteria; Bacillati; Bacillota; Bacilli; Lactobacillales; Streptococcaceae.